Molecule: ribosomal RNA, 451 nt
Filed under: uncultured bacterium
Lineage: Bacteria
Description: partial 16S ribosomal RNA
Rfam family: Bacterial small subunit ribosomal RNA
Source: RNAcentral
GAUGAACGCUGGCGGCGUGCCUAACACAUGCAAGUCGAGCGGCAGCGUGGGGUGCUUGCACCCUGUCGGCGAGCGGCGGACGGCUGAGUAACGCGUGGGAACGUGCCCCAAAGUGAGGAAUAACUGCCCGAAAGGGUAGCUAAUACCGCAUAUUAUCUUCGGAUCAAAGGAUUUAGCCGCUUUGGGAGCGGCUCGCGUCGGAUUAGGUAGUUGGUGAGGUAAUGGCUCACCAAGCCGACGAUCCGUAGCUGGUCUGAGAGGAUGACCAACCAGGCUGGAGCUGAGACACGGUCCAGACUCCUGCGGGAGGCAGCAGUGAAGUAUCCUCCACAAUGGGCGGAAGCCUGAUGGAACAACGCCGCGUGCAGGACGAAGGCCUUCGGGUUGUAAACUGCUUUUAUAAGUGAGGAAUAUGACGGUAACUUAUGAAUAAGGAUCGGCUAACUACGUG